AUUUUGUUAGUUUAAAAAAAACGUUGAUUUGUGGUGUCAAAGAUGUUUAUACACGAAAUU
Molecule: transfer RNA, 60 nt
Filed under: Pseudodendrothrips mori
Lineage: Eukaryota; Metazoa; Arthropoda; Insecta; Thysanoptera; Thripidae
Description: tRNA-His
Source: RNAcentral